UACGAGAGGUGCAAGCGUUAUUCGGAAUUAUUGGGCGUAAAGGGUGCGUAGGUGGCAUACCAAGUCAACUGUAAAAUUCCUCGGCCUAACUGAGGGCUCGCAGUAGAAACUAGUAUGCUAGAGGUUGGAAGAGGGAAGUGGAAUUCUCGGAGUAGCGGUAAAAUGCGUAGAUCUCGAGAGGAACACCGAUGGCGAAGGCAGCUUCUUGGUCCAAACCUGACACUAAGGCACGAAAGCGUGGGGAGCAGACAGG
RNAcentral lists this ribosomal RNA (253 nucleotides) under uncultured bacterium. RNAcentral's name for it is "partial 16S ribosomal RNA". It matches the Rfam family "Bacterial small subunit ribosomal RNA", at positions 524 to 776 of the family's 1533-position model. The record is from RNAcentral.